This 73-nucleotide transfer RNA is filed under the name Stegodyphus mimosarum. It matches the Rfam family "tRNA". Rfam says of the family: Transfer RNA (tRNA) molecules are approximately 80 nucleotides in length. The record is from Rfam by way of RNAcentral. Lineage: Eukaryota; Metazoa; Arthropoda; Arachnida; Araneae; Eresidae.
GCCUUCGUGGUAUAGUGGUCAGCACGCUGGGCGCGUAUUCCAGAGGUCCGUGGUUCGAUUCCCGGCGAAGGCG